This 253-nucleotide ribosomal RNA is filed under the name uncultured bacterium. RNAcentral's name for it is "partial 16S ribosomal RNA". It matches the Rfam family "Bacterial small subunit ribosomal RNA", at positions 524 to 776 of the family's 1533-position model. The record is from RNAcentral.
UACGAAGGAUGCGAGCGUUAUCCGGAAUUAUUGGGUUUAAAGGGUGCGUAGGCGGACCUGUAAGUCAGUGGUGAAAGCCUGUUGCUUAACAACAGAACUGCCAUUGAUACUGCAAGUCUUGAGUACAGUUGAGGUAGGCGGAAUGUGUCAUGUAGCGGUGAAAUGCUUAGAUAUGACACAGAACACCGAUUGCGAAGGCAGCUUGCUAAGCUGUAACUGACGCUGAUGCACGAAAGCGUGGGGAGCAAACAGG